This 435-nucleotide ribosomal RNA is filed under the name uncultured bacterium. RNAcentral describes it as "partial 16S ribosomal RNA". It matches the Rfam family "Bacterial small subunit ribosomal RNA", at positions 29 to 507 of the family's 1533-position model. The record is from RNAcentral.
AGCGAACGCUGGCGGCAGGCUUAACACAUGCAAGUCGAGCGGGCACUUUCGGGUGUCAGCGGCGGACGGGUGAGUAACGCGUGGGAACGUGCCCUCUGGUUCGGAAUAACUCAGGGAAACUUGAGCUAAUACCGGAUACGCCCUUUUGGGGAAAGGCUUGCUGCCAGAGGAUCGGCCCGCGUCUGAUUAGCUAGUUGGUGAGGUAACGGCUCACCAAGGCGACGAUCAGUAGCUGGUCUGAGAGGAUGAUCAGCCACACUGGGACUGAGACACGGCCCAGACUCCUACGGGAGGCAGCAGUGGGGAAUAUUGGACAAUGGGCGCAAGCCUGAUCCAGCCAUGCCGCGUGAGUGAUGAAGGCCUUAGGGUUGUAAAGCUCUUUUAUCCGGGACGAUAAUGACGGUACCGGAGGAAUAAGCCCCGGCUAACUUCGUG